This is a non-coding RNA of Potamilus streckersoni, 73 nucleotides long. The record is from the annotation of a GenBank genome assembly. Lineage: Eukaryota; Metazoa; Mollusca; Bivalvia; Unionida; Unionidae.
UUCUGGUGGUCUAGUGGUUAGAGCGUCCACCUUGGAUGCAGGAGGUUGCAGGUUCAAACCCCGGCCGAGUCAU